UUACUAAAAACACCUGAGGUGGCCCUUUACUUGCCCCUGACAAGCAGGCAAUUGUUAACCUGCAGCUGAGCCCAGCAGUACGACCCUGAAAGAACACUGGAAGAUAAAGCAGUUUCUACUCCAACUACCUAAAUUAUGUUUCUCAAAGCCAAAGCAAAGUUGGAAAAGGCGGCUGUGAGCAGAGGAUUAAUGAGGCCAAGGUAAUCCAGCGUCUCCCAGCCCCUCCUGUCCUUCAUGCUGAGGUGCCCUUGGGUAAGACACUGAACCCCAAACUGCUGCGAUGGCCAGGCCAGCACCUUGCUUGGUACCUGCUAUUAGUGUGUGAGUGUAUGUAAAUGACUAUUCAUGAUG
Molecule: long non-coding RNA, 351 nt
Organism: Scatophagus argus
Lineage: Eukaryota; Metazoa; Chordata; Actinopteri; Scatophagidae
Exons: 2
Source: RefSeq, a predicted model, not a curated record